CGGGGGGAGCAAGCGUUGUUCGGAUUUACUGGGCGUAAAGGGCGCGUAGGCGGUCAGCACAAGUCAGUUGUGAAAUCUCCGGGCUUAACUCGGAACGGUCAACUGAUACUGUGCGACUAGAGUGCAGAAGGGGCAACUGGAAUUCUCGGUGUAGCGGUGAAAUGCGUAGAUAUCGAGAGGAACACCUGCGGCGAAGGCGGGUUGCUGGGCUGACACUGACGCUGAGGCGCGAAAGCCAGGGGAGCGAACGGGAUUAGAUACCCCGGUAGUCCUGGCCUUAAACGAUGGAUGCUUGGUGUCUGGAGUUAUAUAGUCUCCGGGUGCCGCAGCUAACGCGUUAAGCAUCCCGCCUGGGGAUGCGGUCGCAAGACUG
This 373-nucleotide ribosomal RNA is filed under the name uncultured organism. Its description in RNAcentral is "bacterial SSU rRNA". It matches the Rfam family "Bacterial small subunit ribosomal RNA", at positions 526 to 896 of the family's 1533-position model. The record is from RNAcentral.